Molecule: ribosomal RNA, 158 nt
Filed under: Ophiocordyceps sinensis
Lineage: Eukaryota; Fungi; Ascomycota; Sordariomycetes; Hypocreales; Ophiocordycipitaceae
Description: 5.8S ribosomal RNA
Rfam family: 5.8S ribosomal RNA
About the family: 5.8S ribosomal RNA (5.8S rRNA) is a component of the large subunit of the eukaryotic ribosome. It is transcribed by RNA polymerase I as part of the 45S precursor that also contains 18S and 28S rRNA.
Source: RNAcentral
AACUUUCAACAACGGAUCUCUUGGUUCUGGCAUCGAUGAAGAACGCAGCGAAAUGCGAUAAGUAAUGUGAAUUGCAGAAUUCAGUGAACCAUCGAAUCUUUGAACGCACAUUGCGCCCGCCAGCACUCUGGCAGGCGUGCCUGUCCGAGCGUCAUCUC